This is a non-coding RNA of Myotis davidii, 895 nucleotides long. The record is from the annotation of a RefSeq genome assembly. NCBI's taxonomy places the organism in Eukaryota, Metazoa, Chordata, Mammalia, Chiroptera, Vespertilionidae.
AUGGGAAGAGGUGUGGCUGUGCUCCCCAUGGUCCCGGAGUGCAAGGCCCCCAAAGAAGGCGUCUCCGUGACCCUGGCCUGCUUGGUGACGGGGUCUGACUCAGCCACCUGGCACAUAGGAGCAGAGAAGCUGCCCGCAAAUGACGUUGUGAUUGGGCACUUGAAGCAGAGGGUCACCUACCUCUUCUACCAAACCAUCGUCUGGAAGCCUGGCUCACACAGCUGCAGCGCCGAUCACACGUCCAAGACCUUCCAGUGGCCAGCAUCUUGGAAAACCCAGGCCAUCUCAGUGACCCACAUGACACCUCUCUCAGAGAAACUCACCCCAGCCCCCACCCCAACCAGACACCCAGCUGCCACGAUGCCCAGCAGCCUCACUGUCCAGGUCCUGGACACACCGGGUGCUCACGCCUCUGCCGGGGCGGCCUCCUGGCUCCUGUGCGAGGUGUCGGGCUUCUUGCCCCCAGAGCUGCUCUUCACCUGGCAGGAGGGCUGGCCCCAGGUGGACUCUUCUUGGUUUGCCACCACGGUGCCCACAGCCGAGCCUGGCAACAGCAGGUUGCGCACCUGGGGUGUCCUGUGGGUCCCGGCCGCCCCCGGCCCCCGCCAGCCACCAACACGUGCGAGGUCAGGCCCCGGCCUUGGGGAGGCUGCUCGAUGCCAGCUGGAGCCUGGACACUAUAGGCCUGGCCCCGUCCCUCUGGGGCCCCCUGAGCAUGCAGGAGGACUGUGAUGGCUACGCCAACCUGGAUGAUGCCAGCCGCCUCGGCUUCAUCACCUUCGUCAACGUGAAGGGCAGGGACAUCCUGGGGGUUCACUGGAGCCGGCCAGGGACUGUGCGGAGCCGGGAAACCCGGGCAGGAGGGCAGUGGGCCGUGGGCACUGUCCUGGCCUGA